Molecule: ribosomal RNA, 252 nt
Filed under: uncultured bacterium
Lineage: Bacteria
Description: partial 16S ribosomal RNA
Rfam family: Bacterial small subunit ribosomal RNA
Source: RNAcentral
GACGAACCGUACGAACGUUAUUCGGAAUUACUGGGCUUAAAGGGUGCGUAGGCGGCGCAGUAAGUUGGGUGUGAAAUCCCUCGCUUAACCGAGGAAUUGCGCCCAAAACUACUGUGCUCGAGGGAGAUAGAGGUGAGCGGAACUUAGGGUGGAGCGGUGAAAUGCGUUGAUAUCCUAAGGAACACCGGUGGCGAAAGCGGCUCACUGGAUCUCUUCUGACGCUGAGGCACGAAAGCUAGGGUAGCAAACGGG